This 388-nucleotide ribosomal RNA is filed under the name uncultured bacterium. RNAcentral describes it as "bacterial SSU rRNA". It matches the Rfam family "Bacterial small subunit ribosomal RNA", at positions 28 to 417 of the family's 1533-position model. The record is from RNAcentral.
GACGAACGCUGGCGGCGUGCUUAACACAUGCAAGUCGAGCGGUAAGGCCCUUUCGGGGGUACACGAGCGGCGAACGGGUGAGUAACACGUGGGUGACCUGCCCUCAGCUCUGGGAUAAGCCUGGGAAACCGGGUCUAAUACUGGAUAUGACUCCAUGACGCAUGUUGUGGGGUGGAAAGCCUUGUGCGGCUGAGGAUGGGCCCGCGGCCUAUCAGCUUGUUGGUGGGGUGAGGCCUACCAAGGCGACGACGGGUAGCCGGCCUGAGAGGGCGACCGGCCACACUGGGACUGAGACACGGCCCAGACUCCUACGGGAGGCAGCAGGUGGGGAAUCUUGCGCAAUGGGCGAAAGCCUGACGCAGCGACGCCGCGUGAGGGAUGACGGCCU